CCUACGGGAGGCAGCAGUGGGGAAUAUUGCACAAUGGCGGGAACCCUGAUGCAGCGACGCCGCGUGAGUGAAGAAGUAUCUCGGUAUGUAAAGCUCUGUCAGCAGGGAAGAAGUAAGACGGUACCUGACCAAGAAGCCCCUGCUAACUACGUGCCAGCAGCCGCGGUAAUACGUAGGGGGCAAGCGUUAUCCGGAUUUACUGGGGGUAAAGGGAGCGUAGACGGCAGGGCAAGGCUGGAGUGGAAGUCAGGGGCACAACCCCUGGACUGCUCUGGAAACUGUCCGGCUGGAGUGCAGGGGAGGUAAGUGGAAUUCCUAGUGUAGCGGUGAAAUGCGUAGAUAGUAGGAGGAACACCAGUGGCGAAGGCGGCUUACUGGACUGUAACUGACGUUGAGGCUCGAAAGCGUGGGGAGCAAACAGGAUUAGAUACCCCAGUAGUC
This 441-nucleotide ribosomal RNA is filed under the name uncultured bacterium. RNAcentral's name for it is "partial 16S ribosomal RNA". It matches the Rfam family "Bacterial small subunit ribosomal RNA", at positions 338 to 795 of the family's 1533-position model. The record is from RNAcentral.